This 499-nucleotide ribosomal RNA is filed under the name uncultured bacterium. RNAcentral's name for it is "bacterial SSU rRNA". It matches the Rfam family "Bacterial small subunit ribosomal RNA", at positions 29 to 507 of the family's 1533-position model. The record is from RNAcentral.
AACGAACGUUAGCGGCGCGCCUAACACAUGCAAGUCGAGCGAGAAAGGGAGCAAUCCCCGGUACAGCGGCGCACGGGUGAGUAACACGUAGGUAACCAACCUCCGAGUGGUGGAUAACCUUCCGAAAGGAGGGCUAAUACAGCAUGAGCCCACAGCUCCGAGAGGAGCAGAGGGAAAAGCCGGCCAAUCCAUGGAAGCUGGCGCUUGGAGACGGGCCUGCGGCCCAUCAGCUAGUUGGUGAGGUAAUGGCUCACCAAGGCGAAGACGGGUAGCUGGUCUGAGAGGAUGAUCAGCCACACUGGAACUGAGACACGGUCCAGACUCCUACGGGAGGCAGCAGUGGGGAAUCUUGCGCAAUGGGCGAAAGCCUGACGCAGCGACGCCGCGUGGGUGAUGAAGGCCUUCGGGUUGUAAAGCCCUGUGGAGGGGGAAGAAUAAGGCUUGGCUAAUAUCCAAGUUGAUGACGGUACCCCUUUAGCAAGCACCGGCUAACUCUGUG